This 154-nucleotide ribosomal RNA is filed under the name Ochromonas sp. CCMP1393. Its description in RNAcentral is "partial Bacterial large subunit ribosomal RNA". It matches the Rfam family "Bacterial large subunit ribosomal RNA", at positions 1122 to 1280 of the family's 2925-position model. Lineage: Eukaryota; Chrysophyceae; Chromulinales; Chromulinaceae. The record is from RNAcentral.
UUUAAAGAGUGCGUAAUAGCUCACUAGUCGAGUGACACUGCGCCGAAAAUGUACCGGGGCUAAACAUAUUACCGAAGCUGUGGAUUGUCCGUAGGACAAUGGUAGGAGAGCGUUCUAAGGGCGUUGAAGCAUGAUCGCAAGGACAUGUGGAGCG